AGUGAACGCUGGCGGUAGGCCUAACACAUGCAAGUCGAACGGCAGCACAGUAAGAGCUUGCUCUUACGGGUGGCGAGUGGCGGACGGGUGAGGAAUACAUCGGAAUCUACUUUUUCGUGGGGGAUAACGUAGGGAAACUUACGCUAAUACCGCAUACGACCUACGGGUGAAAGCAGGGGAUCUUCGUACCUUGCGCGAUUGAAUGAGCCGAUGUCGGAUUAGCUAGUUGGCGGGGUAAAGGCCCACCAAGGCGACGAUCCGUAGCUGGUCUGAGAGGAUGAUCAGCCCGACUGGAACUGAGACACGGUCCAGACUCCUACGGGAGGCAGCAGUGGGGAAUAUUGGACAAUGGGGGCAAGACUGAUCCAGCCAUACCGCGUGGGUGAAGAAGGCCUUCGGGUUGUAAAGCCCUUUUGUUGGGAAAGAAAAGCAGCAGGUUAAUACCCCGCUGUUCUGACGGUACCCAAAGAAUAAGCACCGGCUAACUUCGUG
Molecule: ribosomal RNA, 492 nt
Filed under: uncultured bacterium
Lineage: Bacteria
Description: partial 16S ribosomal RNA
Rfam family: Bacterial small subunit ribosomal RNA
Source: RNAcentral